GAUGAACGCUGGCGGCGUGCCUAAUACAUGCAAGUCGAGCGAACAGACGAGGAGCUUGCUCCUCUGACGUUAGCGGCGGACGGGUGAGUAACACGUGGAUAACCUACCUAUAAGACUGGGAUAACUUCGGGAAACCGGAGCUAAUACCGGAUAAUAUAUUGAACCGCAUGGUUCAAUAGUGAAAGACGGUUUUGCUGUCACUUAUAGAUGGAUCCGCGCCGCAUUAGCUAGUUGGUAAGGUAACGGCUUACCAAGGCAACGAUGCGUAGCCGACCUGAGAGGGUGAUCGGCCGCACUGGAACUGAGACACGGUCCAGACUCCUACGGGAGGCAGCAGUAGGGAAUCUUCCGCAAUGGGCGAAAGCCUGACGGAGCAACGCCGCGUGAGUGAUGAAGGUCUUCGGAUCGUAAAACUCUGUUAUUAGGGAAGAACAAAUGUGUAAGUAACUAUGCACGUCUUGACGGUACCUAAUCAGAAAGCCACGGCUACCUACGUG
This 497-nucleotide ribosomal RNA is filed under the name uncultured bacterium. RNAcentral describes it as "partial 16S ribosomal RNA". It matches the Rfam family "Bacterial small subunit ribosomal RNA", at positions 28 to 507 of the family's 1533-position model. The record is from RNAcentral.